RNAcentral lists this transfer RNA (77 nucleotides) under Candidatus Saccharimonadota bacterium. RNAcentral describes it as "tRNA-Ala". It matches the Rfam family "tRNA". Rfam says of the family: Transfer RNA (tRNA) molecules are approximately 80 nucleotides in length. Their secondary structure includes four short double-helical elements and three loops (D, anti-codon, and T loops). The record is from RNAcentral. Lineage: Bacteria; Candidatus Saccharimonadota.
GGGGAUGUAGCUCAGUUGGCUAGAGCGCUUCAAUGGCAUUGAAGAGGUCCAGGGUUCGAGUCCCUGUAUCUCCACCA